GUGUUUUUCACGUACACUAACGGGGGCGGGCUCUCCCUCUGCAUAUUCAUAAUAGCUUGAAAUCAAGGAGAGACAAUAUACUUGAUGCUAAUACAAAACAAUCAGAAUAGGAGCAGUACAGACAUUAUUUACAUUAGAAACAAUCAUGAAGAGGAUUGAAGGUUUAUAAUGAGGCAGUGGUCAGGAACAGCUGACUCCCUCCUACACACACACCAAAAUACAUUUGCAUUAUUCCCUCCUCUCCAUCCUGCAUCCAUCCUUCUCCUUAGCCCUUGUGUCACCCCUCCCUCUCCCAGCAUCCUAUUGGACCAUCUGUCCUGUCAGACUAGUUGUCCAGCUGCGAUCAGGGGAUGCUAGCAGCCUUGUUAAUGUAGCAGCUGACCCGGUAUAAUGACGGAAGUGGGCUUUAGAGACAUCAACGGCUUCCUGUCACUUGACUCGUAGGCGCAGACAGAUAUACGUCCUCUGAUCCUCUCACAACUUCCUGAAAGCUGAAGCUGUCAUUAUCAUGUUGGAGGGGCGUUUCUCUGAGUAGAACCCAUGAACGUACCAGCAGGACCUCUUAUAGUUUGGAGCCUGACAUGUUCCAAUGAG
This is a long non-coding RNA of Gasterosteus aculeatus aculeatus (three-spined stickleback), 594 nucleotides long. NCBI's taxonomy places the organism in Eukaryota, Metazoa, Chordata, Actinopteri, Perciformes, Gasterosteidae. The record is from Ensembl.